GACGAACGCUGGCGGCGUGCUUAACACAUGCAAGUCGAACGGAAAGGCCCUGCUUUUGUGGGGUGCUCGAGUGGCGAACGGGUGAGUAACACGUGAGUAACCUGCCCUUGACUUUGGGAUAACUUCAGGAAACUGGGGCUAAUACCGGAUAUGAGCUCCUGCUGCAUGGUGGGGGUUGGAAAGUUUCGGCGGUUGGGGAUGGACUCGCGGCUUAUCAGCUUGUUGGUGGGGUAGUGGCUUACCAAGGCUUUGACGGGUAGCCGGCCUGAGAGGGUGACCGGCCACAUUGGGACUGAGAGACGGACCAGAAGCCUACGGGAGGCAGCAGUGGGGAAUAUUGCACAAUGGGCGGAAGCCUGAUGCAGCAACGCCGCGUGCGGGAUGACGGCCUUCGGGUUGUAAACCGCUUUCGCCUGUGACGAAGCGUGAGUGACGGUAAUGGGUAAAGAAGCACCGGCUAACUACGUG
This 468-nucleotide ribosomal RNA is filed under the name uncultured bacterium. RNAcentral describes it as "partial 16S ribosomal RNA". It matches the Rfam family "Bacterial small subunit ribosomal RNA", at positions 28 to 507 of the family's 1533-position model. The record is from RNAcentral.